RNAcentral lists this long non-coding RNA (638 nucleotides) under Homo sapiens (human). Its description in RNAcentral is "non-protein coding lnc-TNFAIP8L1-1:1". Lineage: Eukaryota; Metazoa; Chordata; Mammalia; Primates; Hominidae. The record is from RNAcentral.
CCUUCUUCCCAGUGCGGCCCGGGCUGCGGCCCCGGGUCCGAGGAGGCCCGGGGAGACCCGGAGGAGGUCAGAAGGCCUUCAGGGUCCCCGGGAUGGGGUGGAAACUGAGACCCAGAGAGCCGUGACUUGACUGAUCCCACAGCCAGGAAAUGGUGGAGCCUGGAUUUGAACCCCAGCUUUUAAGAAGAAGGUGCCACUGUCCUGGAAGAACUCUCAGGACAGCAUUAGUGUCUCAGGGAUCCCCCUAAUCGGAGGGGCCUUAAGCCUAAUCAUGAUUGUCACUGAAGAUCCAGGAGGGCUUCCUGGAGGAGGAGGCAGCUCCAUUCUGAAAUGCCAAGGGUACAGCUUUAUUGGGACAGCCAGUGUCUCUGAAUAUGUAGGUUUUGCACAGAGCUUGUACUGCCCCAGGGCCUGUACACUGCCUGUCCCCUCUGCCUUGUGCACUCUUUCCCUAGAUGUCCAAAUGGCUCCUUUCCUCACCUACCCCAAAUCUCAAUUCCAGUGUUUCCCCAGCCUCCCCUCAUUUCAGUAAUCACUCUGCAGUGAGCUAGGAUUGCGCCACUGCACUCCAGCUUGGAUAAGAGAACAAGACCCUGUCUCUUAACUAAAUACAUAAAUAAAAAUAAUUCCCCUCUUCA